UGAGAUUCUGUUAAGAAUGCUUGAUCUGAGG
This 31-nucleotide non-coding RNA is filed under the name Mus musculus (house mouse). Lineage: Eukaryota; Metazoa; Chordata; Mammalia; Rodentia; Muridae. The record is from RNAcentral.